CCUACGGGAGGCAGCAGCUAAGAAUCUUCCGCAAUGGGCGCAAGCCUGACGGAGCGAUGCCGCGUGAACGAUGAAGGUAGAGAUAUUGUAAAGUUCUUUUAUGAGUGAGGAAUAAGGCUGGUAGGUAAUGAUCGGCUGAUGACGUUAGCUCAUGAAUAAGCCCCGGCCAAUUACGUGCCAGCAGCCGCGGUAAU
This 194-nucleotide ribosomal RNA is filed under the name uncultured bacterium. Its description in RNAcentral is "partial 16S ribosomal RNA". It matches the Rfam family "Bacterial small subunit ribosomal RNA", at positions 338 to 524 of the family's 1533-position model. The record is from RNAcentral.